AUACCCCGUGAUGUUCAGGUCCGCCGCAUCUCCUGGGUCAUGGGGUCGGUCGAUCAGAGCGCUCGGUCAAACGUGGAUCCUCGUACCACGUCGAGCGCCUGAUCGACCCCUUU
RNAcentral lists this small RNA (113 nucleotides) under Rhizobium sp. EC-SD404. RNAcentral's name for it is "Atu_C6". It matches the Rfam family "EcpR1". From Rfam's summary of the family: Perviously named SmelC291, SmrC10, or Sra33. According to its overproduction phenotype it was renamed Elongated Cell Phenotype RNA1. Induced by stress,EcpR1 negatively regulates cell cycle master regulatory genes dnaA and gcrA at post-transcriptional level by base pairing between its strongly conserved GC-rich loop and the target mRNAs. The record is from RNAcentral. Lineage: Bacteria; Pseudomonadati; Pseudomonadota; Alphaproteobacteria; Hyphomicrobiales; Rhizobiaceae.